CCUACGGGAGGCAGCAGUGGGGAAUAUUGGACAAUGGGGGAAACCCUGAUCCAGCGACGCCGCGUGUGUGAAGAAGGCCUGCGGGUUGUAAAGCACUUUUAGUGGGGAUGAAAAGCUCAGGGCUAAUACCCCUGGGUCUUGACCUAACCCACAGAAAAAGCACCGGCUAACUCUGUGCCAGCAGCCGCGGUAAUACAGAGGGUGCAAGCGUUAAUCGGAAUUACUGGGCGUAAAGCGUGCGUAGACGGUCAUGUAAGUCGGGUGUGAAAGCCCCGGGCUCAACCUGGGAAUUGCAUUCGAGACUGCAUGGCUAGGGUGCGGAAGAGGGAAGCGGAAUUUCCGGUGUAGCGGUGAAAUGCGUAGAUAUCGGAAGGAACACCAGUGGCGAAAGCGGCUUCCUGGUCCAGCACCGACGUUCAGGCACGAAAGCGUGGGGAGCAAACAGGAUUAGAUACCCUGGUAGUCCACGCCAUAAACGAUGAGAACUAGACGUUGAAGGGGUAAGCCCUGCAGUGUCGUAGCUAACGCGCUAAGUUCUCCGCCUGGGGAGCACGGCCGCAAGGUUGAAACUCAAAGGAAUUGACGGAAGGGCGAAUUCG
RNAcentral lists this ribosomal RNA (599 nucleotides) under uncultured Gammaproteobacteria bacterium. RNAcentral's name for it is "bacterial SSU rRNA". It matches the Rfam family "Bacterial small subunit ribosomal RNA", at positions 338 to 929 of the family's 1533-position model. Lineage: Bacteria; Pseudomonadati; Pseudomonadota; Gammaproteobacteria. The record is from RNAcentral.